UCUUUGAUAUGGGGUUGUAGCUGGUCUCGAUACCGAGGCAUGUGCUCGCUCUGUUCAAAAUCCACUCUACACCUGUGCACUCACUGCAAGCUGGGGUCUGUUGAGGGUCAUGCUUUCACGAGCUUUGACCUUUGAAAGCCUCGCUUGUGUUUAUUACAAACGAUUUAGUAACCGAAUGUACAUCGCGUUUAACGCAUCAUAUACAACUUUUAGCAACGGAUCUCUUGGCUCUCGCAUCGAUGAAGAACGCAGCGAAAUGCGAUAAGUAAUGUGAAUUGCAGAAUUCAGUGAAUCAUCGAAUCUUUGAACGCACCUUGCGCUCCUUGGUAUUCCGAGGAGCACGCCUGUUUGAGUGUCGUGAAAUUCUCAACCUUGCAGAGUCUUGUGCUCUGUUAAGGAUUGGAUUUGGAGGCUUGCCGGUGAUUAGUUUGCCGGCUCCUCUCAAAAGCAUUAGCUUGUUCCUUGUGGAUCGGCCUCAGUGUGAUAAUUGUCUACGCUGUUUGACUGUGAAGCAUUUGGCUAGCUUCUAAUCGUCUCGCUGAGAGACAAAGCUCUAUCGACAUCUGA
Molecule: ribosomal RNA, 567 nt
Filed under: Podofomes stereoides
Lineage: Eukaryota; Fungi; Basidiomycota; Agaricomycetes; Polyporales; Polyporaceae
Description: eukaryotic LSU rRNA
Rfam family: 5.8S ribosomal RNA (bases 205-358)
Source: RNAcentral